CCGAUUUUUGUGAACCAGUAGGAGAGACCAGAACUUCUAUUUGAUUUGAUCUGGCUUUCAGUGAUGAGGAAGCAACUUUCAGAUGUAAUCCACUCACCACGAUUUCGUCUUCCUUGGGUUUUACCCUUAUGGAGUGUGCUUUCACCUGAUUUUUGAAGCGGCAAACAGGUUGCCAAUGACCGGGUUUCCCACAUCCAUGGCAAGUAGACUUCAGUGCCGGACAUUCCUCACGAGUGUGUCUCUUGGACGAUCUGCAAAAAGAACACCUCUCGGAUGAUCCAGACUUCUCAAGUUUUGGACCUGACUUUCCACCGCUCCUCUUCUAAGAAGACUUGGUGGCGGCGUUGACUCCCAAUUCCGCAGAAUUGACAAAUUGGUGUGACGUAAAAGUACGGGUGCCGUCACGGAUGGUCUCAGCCUCGAGAACGAAUUUACGAGCCUCGUUAAAUGUGGACGGGUUGCGCUCCAUAAGUUUGGCCUUGUCCAAAUUAUUGCCUGGAAUAAGAGGGCUAUUAGAAGGCGAUCUUCCGUGAUUUGAGAAAUCCCUCAUGUCAAGAUGAACGUUACGGAGACUUCGUAAAUGACCCUCAAUGAUGUUGAGAAUUUCGACCACUGUACGGCCGGUAUCCGAACGUAUUCCAAGGGAAUGACGUACAAUGCAUAGGAAGCCCGGGCUGCAGCACUCCCAUAAAAGCCCAACUUGGAUUGCCCUCUCCCGCUGAUCUAGGUCCAGCGUGUCCAAUUGUGCGAAUCAGUACCCGUGAAAAGGUGGAUGUCAAGACCAGAUGUGGGGAAUGUUUCUCGUUUUCACGUUCGUCCAGUGGAGUGGUCUGGAAAGCUGUCAUUCGAGGAGCCCAAAGAUUCUAUACAUUGAGAUAUCAUCAUGUCCAUGGAGAAGUCGCCGAAAGUGAUCUUAUCAAGGCGACUAUUCCUUUUGCAAUGAUUAAAUCAACGGUCAUAAAUGAGCUUUUUUUAUAAUUUCCACGACGCCCGUUUAUGUGGCAUACCCAAUGGCAACCUGCUGGUCCUCAUUCUUCCGAAAGCUCCUAUCCCGGAGUUUAUAGUCAUUGGUACGAGGAAAAUCAGAAUCAUCAACAGGGACCAAAUCCGUCUAUGCUUCCAUUGUAGAGCCGAAGACCACCUAGAAAGCAAUUGUCCACUCAUUAAACAGGUCGUAGAAAAUCACGAAAAUCCAGUCAAAUCGUCUCUUUACCGAAGUGGAUCGAAGGACGAAUGCAGAAAUGGAGUGUCCGAGUUUUCGACAAAGGCACGCUCAACGAUAAAUGCUAAUCAAAAACAAUAUACCUUUUGGGGACUUUAACAUCGUUUUCUCAAAAGCCUCAUUUAAAAACACCAAAUUUUGUGACCUCAUGAUCAGCGGUGGGCUUGCUUCGGUAAUUAAAAAUCCCACAAGAAUAACGAUAGCAA
This is a long non-coding RNA of Tigriopus californicus, 1428 nucleotides long. RefSeq lists it as uncharacterized. The transcript has 3 exons. NCBI's taxonomy places the organism in Eukaryota, Metazoa, Arthropoda, Copepoda, Harpacticoida, Harpacticidae. The record is from RefSeq and is a predicted model, not a curated record.